UACGGGGGGAGCAAGCGUUGUUCGGAUUUACUGGGCGUAAAGGGCGCGUAGGCGGCCACCGCAGGUCAGUUGUGAAAGCUCUGGGCUUAACCCAGAAAGGUCAACUGAUACUGCGGGGCUAGAGUGCAGAAGGGGCAACUGGAAUUCUCGGUGUAGCGGUGAAAUGCGUAGAUAUCGAGAGGAACACCUGCGGCGAAGGCGGGUUGCUGGGCUGACACUGACGCUGAGGCGCGAAAGCCAGGGGAGCAAACGGG
This 254-nucleotide ribosomal RNA is filed under the name uncultured bacterium. RNAcentral's name for it is "partial 16S ribosomal RNA". It matches the Rfam family "Bacterial small subunit ribosomal RNA", at positions 524 to 776 of the family's 1533-position model. The record is from RNAcentral.